AUGCAAGUCGACGAUGAACCGCUUUCGGGCGGGGAUUAGUGGCGAACGGGUGAGUAACACGUGGGCAAUCUGCCCUGCACUCUGGGACAAGCCCUGGAAACGGGGUCUAAUACCGGAUAUGACUGUCCAUCGCAUGGUGGAUGGUGUAAAGCUCCGGCGGUGCAGGAUGAGCCCGCGGCCUAUCAGCUUGUUGGUGAGGUAGUGGCUCACCAAGGCGACGACGGGUAGCCGGCCUGAGAGGGCGACCGGCCACACUGGGACUGAGACACGGCCCAGACUCCUACGGGAGGCAGCAGUGGGGAAUAUUGCACAAUGGGCGAAAGCCUGAUGCAGCGACGCCGCGUGAGGGAUGACGGCCUUCGGGUUGUAAACCUCUUUCAGCAGGGAAGAAGCGAAAGUGACGGUACCUGCAGAAGAAGCGCCGGCUAACUACGUGCCAGCAGCCGCGGUAAUACGUAGGGCGCAAGCGUUGUCCGGAAUUAUUGGGCGUAAAGAGCUCGUAGGCGGCUUGUCACGUCGGUUGUGAAAGCCCGGGGCUUAACCCCGGGUCUGCAGUCGAUACGGGCAGGCUAGAGUUCGGUAGGGGAGAUCGGAAUUCCUGGUGUAGCGGUGAAAUGCGCAGAUAUCAGGAGGAACACCGGUGGCGAAGGCGGAUCUCUGGGCCGAUACUGACGCUGAGGAGCGAAAGCGUGGGGAGCGAACAGGAUUAGAUACCCUGGUAGUCCACGCCGUAAACGGUGGGCACUAGGUGUGGGCAACAUUCCACGUUGUCCGUGCCGCAGCUAACGCAUUAAGUGCCCCGCCUGGGGAGUACGGCCGCAAGGCUAAAACUCAAAGGAAUUGACGGGGGCCCGCACAAGCGGCGGAGCAUGUGGCUUAAUUCGACGCAACGCGAAGAACCUUACCAAGGCUUGACAUACACCGGAAACGUCUGGAGACAGGCGCCCCCUUGUGGUCGGUGUACAGGUGGUGCAUGGCUGUCUUCAGCUCUGGUCUUGAGAAGUUUGGUUAAGUCCCGCAACGAGGGCAACCCUUGUCCCGGGUUGCCAGCAGGCCCUUGUGGUGCUGGGGACUCACGGGAGACCGCCGGGGUCAACUCGGAGGAAGGUGGGGACGACGUCAAGUCAUCAUGCCCCUUAUGUCUUGGGCUGCACACGUGCUACAAUGGCCGGUACAAUGAGCUGCGAUACCGCGAGGUGGAGCGAAUCUCAAAAAGCCGGUCUCAGUUCGGAUUGGGGUCUGCAACUCGACCCCAUGAAGUCGGAGUCGCUAGUAAUCGCAGAUCAGCAUUGCUGCGGUGAAUACGUUCCCGGGCCUUGUACACACCGCCCGUCACGUCACGAAAGUCGGUAACACCCGAAGC
Molecule: ribosomal RNA, 1363 nt
Filed under: Streptomyces sp. IIUM K4-15
Lineage: Bacteria; Bacillati; Actinomycetota; Actinomycetes; Kitasatosporales; Streptomycetaceae
Description: bacterial SSU rRNA
Rfam family: Bacterial small subunit ribosomal RNA
Source: RNAcentral